AUUGAACGCUGGCGGCAUGCUUUACACAUGCAAGUCGAACGGCAGCACGGGAGCUUGCUCCUGGUGGCGAGUGGCGAACGGGUGAGUAAUGCAUCGGAACGUACCCAGUAGUGGGGGAUAGCCCGGCGAAAGCCGGAUUAAUACCGCAUAUUUCCUGAGGGAGAAAGCGGGGGACCUUCGGGCCUCGCGCUACUGGAGCGGCUGAUGUCGGAUUAGCUAGUUGGUGAGGUAAAGGCUCACCAAGGCGACGAUCCGUAGCUGGUCUGAGAGGAUGAUCAGCCACACUGGGACUGAGACACGGCCCAGACUCCUACGGGAGGCAGCAGUGGGGAAUUUUGGACAAUGGGGGCAACCCUGAUCCAGCCACGUCGCCGUCGAGUGAGAAGGACGUCG
RNAcentral lists this ribosomal RNA (393 nucleotides) under uncultured bacterium. RNAcentral's name for it is "bacterial SSU rRNA". It matches the Rfam family "Bacterial small subunit ribosomal RNA", at positions 29 to 420 of the family's 1533-position model. The record is from RNAcentral.